AACGCUGGCGGCGUGCCUAACACAUGCAAGUCGAACGAGAAAGUGGAGCAAUCCAUGAGUACAGUGGCGAACGGGUGAGUAACACGUGACUAACCUGCCUUCGAGUGGGGGAUAACCUCGGGAAACCGGGGCUAAUACCGCAUAACAUCCUCAGGGUGCAAUUCCCAGGGGACCAAAGGGGUAAGACGCUUGAAGAGGGGGUCGCGGCUGAUUAGCUAGUUGGUGAGGUAAUGGCUCACCAAGGCGAAGAUCGGUAGCCGGCCUGAGAGGGCGCACGGCCACACUGGAACUGAAACACGGUCCAGACUCCUACGGGAGGCAGCAGUGGGGAAUUUCGCGCAAUGGGGGAAACCCUGACGCAGCAACGCCGCGUGGAGGAUGAAGCCCCUUGGGGCGUAAACUCCUUUCGAUCGGGACGAUUAUGACGGUACCGGAUGAAGAAGCACCGGCUAACUCUGUGCCAGCAGCCGCGGUAAUACAGAGGGUGCGAGCGUUGUUCGGAAUUAUUGGGCGUAAAGGGCGCGUAGGCGGUGCGGCAAGUCACCUGUGAAACCUCUGGGCUUAACCCAGAGCCUGCAGGCGAAACUGCCGUGCUGGA
This 598-nucleotide ribosomal RNA is filed under the name uncultured bacterium. RNAcentral's name for it is "bacterial SSU rRNA". It matches the Rfam family "Bacterial small subunit ribosomal RNA", at positions 32 to 645 of the family's 1533-position model. The record is from RNAcentral.